GGGAGUUUAGUCGCGGCGCUGGCAUCGCGGAGCAAGUCCUAGAGCUGGAGUCCGAGAAGGGACAGGCGUACAUCUCAGUGUCGAACUUCUACGCGACAACGAAAAAUCCAGGUGAGUGAAACCACCAUUUUGCUUACCUCAUGCAAGUGGAAACUUGCGAGAUCUUUGCAACUUCGCUGCAAUCCUGCGGAGAGAUCAAAGACUUAGCACGAGGCAGAAAGAUCCACGCAGAGAUACUGAAAAGCAGACACGGGGGAGAUAGGUACCUGGCAAAUCGUCUCGUUGAGAUGUAUGGCAAGUGCCGGAGCGUCGAGGAAGCAAGAGCUGUUUUCGAUGGCAUCCUGCGAAAGAACGUCUUCUCCUGGACACUGAUGGUCA
Molecule: long non-coding RNA, 378 nt
Filed under: Selaginella moellendorffii
Lineage: Eukaryota; Viridiplantae; Streptophyta; Lycopodiopsida; Selaginellales; Selaginellaceae
Description: long non-coding RNA (SMOE_LNC000716)
Source: RNAcentral